This 323-nucleotide ribosomal RNA is filed under the name uncultured bacterium. RNAcentral describes it as "bacterial SSU rRNA". It matches the Rfam family "Bacterial small subunit ribosomal RNA", at positions 30 to 354 of the family's 1533-position model. The record is from RNAcentral.
AUUGAACGCUGGCAGCAUGCCUUACACAUGCAAGUCGAACGGCAGCACGGGAGCUUGCUCCUGGUGGCGAGUGGCGAACGGGUGAGUAAUACAUCGGAACGUACCCUGAAGUGGGGGAUAACGUAGCGAAAGUUACGCUAAUACCGCAUAUUCUGUGAGCAGGAAAGAGGGGGAUCGCAAGACCUCUUGCUUUAGGAGCGGCCGAUGUCGGAUUAGCUAGUUGGUGAGGUAAAGGCUCACCAAGGCGACGAUCCGUAGCGGGUCUGAGAGGAUGAUCCGCACACUGGACUGAGACACGGCCCAGACUCCUACGGAGGCAGCAG